Molecule: ribosomal RNA, 1464 nt
Filed under: Klebsiella quasivariicola
Lineage: Bacteria; Pseudomonadati; Pseudomonadota; Gammaproteobacteria; Enterobacterales; Enterobacteriaceae
Description: bacterial SSU rRNA
Rfam family: Bacterial small subunit ribosomal RNA
Source: RNAcentral
AUUGAACGCUGGCGGCAGGCCUAACACAUGCAAGUCGAGCGGUAGCACAGAGAGCUUGCUCUCGGGUGACGAGCGGCGGACGGGUGAGUAAUGUCUGGGAAACUGCCUGAUGGAGGGGGAUAACUACUGGAAACGGUAGCUAAUACCGCAUAAUGUCGCAAGACCAAAGUGGGGGACCUUCGGGCCUCAUGCCAUCAGAUGUGCCCAGAUGGGAUUAGCUAGUAGGUGGGGUAAUGGCUCACCUAGGCGACGAUCCCUAGCUGGUCUGAGAGGAUGACCAGCCACACUGGAACUGAGACACGGUCCAGACUCCUACGGGAGGCAGCAGUGGGGAAUAUUGCACAAUGGGCGCAAGCCUGAUGCAGCCAUGCCGCGUGUGUGAAGAAGGCCUUCGGGUUGUAAAGCACUUUCAGCGGGGAGGAAGGCGUUAAGGUUAAUAACCUUGGCGAUUGACGUUACCCGCAGAAGAAGCACCGGCUAACUCCGUGCCAGCAGCCGCGGUAAUACGGAGGGUGCAAGCGUUAAUCGGAAUUACUGGGCGUAAAGCGCACGCAGGCGGUCUGUCAAGUCGGAUGUGAAAUCCCCGGGCUCAACCUGGGAACUGCAUUCGAAACUGGCAGGCUAGAGUCUUGUAGAGGGGGGUAGAAUUCCAGGUGUAGCGGUGAAAAUGCGUAGAGAUCUGGAGGAAUACCGGUGGCGAAACGCGGCCCCCUGGACAAAGACUGACGCUCAGGUGCGAAAGCGUGGGGAGCAAACAGGAUUAGAUACCCUGGUAGUCCACGCCGUAAACGAUGUCGAUUUGGAGGUUGUGCCCUUGAGGCGUGGCUUCCGGAGCUAACGCGUUAAAUCGACCGCCUGGGGAGUACGGCCGCAAGGUUAAAACUCAAAUGAAUUGACGGGGGCCCGCACAAGCGGUGGAGCAUGUGGUUUAAUUCGAUGCAACGCGAAGAACCUUACCUGGUCUUGACAUCCACAGAACUUAGCAGAGAUGCUUUGGUGCCUUCGGGAACUGUGAGACAGGUGCUGCAUGGCUGUCGUCAGCUCGUGUUGUGAAAUGUUGGGUUAAGUCCCGCAACGAGCGCAACCCUUAUCCUUUGUUGCCAGCGGUUAGGCCGGGAACUCAAAGGAGACUGCCAGUGAUAAACUGGAGGAAGGUGGGGAUGACGUCAAGUCAUCAUGGCCCUUACGACCAGGGCUACACACGUGCUACAAUGGCAUAUACAAAGAGAAGCGACCUCGCGAGAGCAAGCGGACCUCAUAAAGUAUGUCGUAGUCCGGAUUGGAGUCUGCAACUCGACUCCAUGAAGUCGGAAUCGCUAGUAAUCGUAGAUCAGAAUGCUACGGUGAAUACGUUCCCGGGCCUUGUACACACCGCCCGUCACACCAUGGGAGUGGGUUGCAAAAGAAGUAGGUAGCUUAACCUUCGGGAGGGCGCUUACCACUUUGUGAUUCAUGACUGGGGUG